This 672-nucleotide long non-coding RNA is filed under the name Oryza sativa Indica Group (long-grained rice). RNAcentral describes it as "lncRNA OsLima_11g0025200". Lineage: Eukaryota; Viridiplantae; Streptophyta; Magnoliopsida; Poales; Poaceae. The record is from RNAcentral.
AUGGAAGAAGUUGAGAGUAGUUAUCGAUCGGAGAUGAUGGAUGGCGAGGGGUGGAAGAUGAUGCAGCCUAAUACUAAUAAGCAGCUGGUGCAGAUCAAGACGAGGUCGUCGUCGAUGCAGGUGGUGAAGGAGGAGAUCGAGGAGGAGGAGGUGGCGGGAGGAAGAGGCCGGAGAAGAGGAGGGCUGAGGCGGUCGGUAUCGGGGAGGGGUUAUAAUUCAAGUAAUCAGAAGGUGAUUGCAAAUGCUAACACAAAUAGAGAUACCAACAACUUGGCAAUAGAGGGACCAACUUUCACACAACUACUACUUGGAGAGGAAGAUUUUGACCUUCCUCCGUAUGUUCCGGACGAUGCUAAAGAGAGCAAUCAGUUCUAUCAACAAACAACAAAUGAGUUCCUUAACAUGAACCAAUUGGAUAACAAUGGUAUAGGAACUGCUCAGUUGGAAUCUCGGGAGCAUAUGAUGACAUAUGGCUUAAGUUCUGGUAUAAGUUCACAGCUUUUAGGUUCUCACGCAAUAGACGUAGUUGAUGUUGUAGGAUGCCUAACUUCACCACGGGGUACCCAGCUGCAUGAGGGUCAUCUUGCACAUCUAAUGUCAUAUAUCCGUGCAUGUCGUGAUCUAGAGCAACAUACCCCUCCCAACUUUGUCAUGCAUCAAUCUAUUGGGCCA